Molecule: non-coding RNA, 369 nt
Organism: Oryctolagus cuniculus (rabbit)
Lineage: Eukaryota; Metazoa; Chordata; Mammalia; Lagomorpha; Leporidae
Source: RefSeq, a predicted model, not a curated record
GGGGGCGGGCAGAGAGAGAGAAGGAAUGAAUGAAUGGGGCUGGUCCUGUCCUGGAGAUCUGGACCCCAGUUCUAAUGCAGGUUGACCAUGGCACCCUCAGAUCCCAUGAGAUCCUCAGUGUCUGGAUCUUUUGCAGCCCACAAACGCAAAUAUCGCGGUUUUCCAGUCCUGAAACAUUGAUAAGUUCUGAUAGAGUCAGAGGCACGGUGCUUGGCGGGUAGCGAGGAAGACUUUGGUGACGUAAGCAGAACGUGGUCCACGCCUCCGUCUCCGAGGGGAAAGGCAGGCGCAGCAUCAGACACGGGUGGCAGUGAGUCCCAGCGGGACAGACAGUCUUGGGUGGAAAUAAAGAGUUACUAGAUACUGUAA